This 432-nucleotide ribosomal RNA is filed under the name uncultured bacterium. RNAcentral's name for it is "partial 16S ribosomal RNA". It matches the Rfam family "Bacterial small subunit ribosomal RNA", at positions 29 to 507 of the family's 1533-position model. The record is from RNAcentral.
GCGAACGCUGGCGGCAGGCCUAACACAUGCCAGUCGAACGAACUCUUCGGAGUUAGUGGCGGACGGGUGAGUAACACGUGGGAACGUGCCUUUUGGUUCGGAAUAACUCAGGGAAACUUGUGCUAAUACCGAAUGUGCCCUUCGGGGGAAAGAUUUAUCGCCAUUAGAGCGGCCCGCGUCUGAUUAGCUAGUUGGUGAGGUAACGGCUCACCAAGGCGACGAUCAGUAGCUGGUCUGAGAGGAUGACCAGCCACACUGGGACUGAGGCACGGCCCAGACUCCUACGGGAGGCAGCAGUGGAGAAUCUUGCGCAAUGGGCGAAAGCCUGACGCAGCCAUGCCGCGUGAAUGAUGAAGGUCUUAGGAUUGUAAAAUUCUUUCACCGGGGACGAUAAUGACGGUACCCGGAGAAGAAGCCCCGGCUAACUUCGUG